GUGGGGAAUCUUCCGCAAUGGACGGAAGUCUGACGGAGCAACGCCGCGUGAGUGAAGAAGGUUUUCGGAUCGUAAAGCUCUUUCGUUAGGGACGAACGUGCUCUUUGUGAAUAAUGAGGAGUAAUGACGGUACCUAAAUAAGAAGCCACGGCUAACUACGUGCCAGCAGCCGCGGUAAUACGUAGGUGGCAAGCGUUGUCCGGAAUUAUUGGGCGUAAAGCGCGCGCAGGCGGGAUAUCAAGUCUGUCUUAAAAGUGCGAGGCUCAACCUCGUGAGGGGACAGAAACUGGUAUUCUUGGGUGUCGGAGAGGAAAGUGGAAUUCCAAGUGUAGCGGUGAAAUGCGUAGAGAUUUGGAAGAACACCAGUGGCGAAGGCGACUUUCUGGACGAUGUCUGACGCUGAGGCGCGAAAGCUAGGGGAGCGAACGGGAUUAGAUACCCGAGUAGUCC
Molecule: ribosomal RNA, 450 nt
Filed under: uncultured bacterium
Lineage: Bacteria
Description: partial 16S ribosomal RNA
Rfam family: Bacterial small subunit ribosomal RNA
Source: RNAcentral